RNAcentral lists this unclassified non-coding RNA (208 nucleotides) under Hevea brasiliensis (rubber tree). The record is from RNAcentral. Lineage: Eukaryota; Viridiplantae; Streptophyta; Magnoliopsida; Malpighiales; Euphorbiaceae.
GGCAGAGCCUGUGGGACUUGAGAUUCGACGGUCACGAGCUGGAAUUGGCAGGCAAGAUCCGAUUAAAGAGAAGGUGAAGCAAGAAGAGAUUAGAGCUGAGAAAAAGAGGAGCCAUCAGGAGGCCUUGAUGGAGGAAUUUGGGUCUCGGCAGAAGUUGCAGUGGCGAAGUCGUAGAAUUGUGAUCAAUUAUAACAAGGCGAAGGCAGCA